Molecule: non-coding RNA, 1218 nt
Organism: Pogona vitticeps (central bearded dragon)
Lineage: Eukaryota; Metazoa; Chordata; Lepidosauria; Squamata; Agamidae
Source: RefSeq, a predicted model, not a curated record
CCCUCUCGCUAUGCGAAUUCAUCGCUCAACGGAGCGAUCGCUAAGCGAGGCACCACUGUAUUAGAAUAGUAAUAAGCCAGGCUUUUCUAUCUAAUGAUCCGUAAUUGGAUUGUCCCCCUUAGAGAAUUCAAUUUGUUAUUGGUACAAUUAGUUGGAGCCUAGUAGGAGGUAAAACAAAUUAGGCAGAAGGAAUCAGGCAUUUUAGUGGCCAGUUGUUUUGGGUUAUGUUUUGGGACACCCCAGUUAUAAUCACUUUACUUAGGAAUAAGUUGCACUGAUUUCAGUGUCAUUACAGUUAUGUUUGACUGCAUCAGAUUUAAACAAAAUGUUAGAUAUUCAGUAUCUUGUAAAAUUGCAGCACUAUCCAUAUUGGACAAAAUUCUAUUCCAUAAUUUUUGCCUGGUGUAACUCAGAUUGAGAAACAUUUAAUUUACAUUAAUUAAAUGCUUCCCAUCCCCAGUUUUAGGUUUUGAGGCUUCUAGGGUAUCCUUUUGCACUGGGGAAGCAUUUGGGAGCCUCAGGAUGGGGCAUGGGAGGACUUUUAAAGUAAAAAAUGGCUACCAGUGGCAGUGGCUGCAAUCCUGGCUGCUGCAAUCUGACAGCAGUUUUCAGGGGCAUAGGAAGUUUUAGUUCAAGUAAAUUAAAUAAGUCUCAUGCUUGGUCUGAGUUGUGCCAGGUGUAGUUAUGCAACAGGAUUUUGCUCACUGUAUUUUCUUCUGCUUCAUAUACUGCUCUGAUUAACAAAUAUAAUAUUUACAUUUAUAGCCAACCACACAAUAAAUUUCUGAACCUUAAUAUGUAGUUUAUACUUCACUGAUUUAGUCUGGAAUAGGUAAAAUAGCUCAGAGUUGGUACACCCAGCUGAAGAGUCAGAGGUUCCCCACUGUGCUUUCUGGGAGAACAGCCAAUCUGCGUAGCCUUGGGAGAGGUGCACAGCCCUACAGCACUCCAGAGAGAUGGUAAACCAUUUCUGAGUACAGUACGUUGCAGCCAGGUUAUCUUGGCAAGGGUUGCCAUAAGUCACAACCAACUUGAUGGCACAUAAUUAAUUAAUGCUCUAUUUUUUGAAAAACAUGUUUCUGUUCAAAAGGAAUUUAGAAAGCAGCAAGUUCACAAAUUUUAAUUAUUGAAAGAACCAGUGAGGUCUUGAAAACUCUAUAAGGCUGGGUCACUGUAAGUUGGAAACAUUGGUACAUAAUAAAAAUUGUUUGCAGAUUA